AUGCCUUUUGGUUUAUGUAAUGCACCUGCUACCUUUCAAAGAUGCAUGAUAGCUAUAUUCUCUGACUUUUGUGAAAAGAUUUGUGAGGUAUUCAUGGAUGAUUUCUCCGUUUAUGGAUCCUCCUUUGAUGAUUGCUUGAGCAACCUUGAUCGAGUUUUGCAGAGAUGCGAAGACACUAGUCUCAUCUUGAAUUGGGAAAGGUGCCACUUUAUGGUUAAUGAAGGCAUUGUCUUGGGGCAUAAAAUUUUUGAAAGAGGUAUUGAAGUUGAUAAAGCUAAAGUUGAUGCUAUUGAAAAGAUGUCGUGUCCCAAGGACUUUAAAGGUAUAAGAAGUUUCCUUGGUCAUGUCGGUUUUUAUAGGAGGUUCAUUAAGGACUUCUGUAAAAUCUCUAGGCCUCUGACUAAUCUAUUACAAAAAGAUAUUCCCUUUGUCUUCGAUGAUGAUUGUGUAGAAGCAUUUAAAAUACUUAAGAAAGCUUAUAUUUCUGCACCUAUUGUUCAGCCACCUGAUUGGAAUUUACCCUUUGAAAUUAUGUGUGAUGCUAGCGAUUAUGAUGUAGGUGUUGUUCUAGGGCAAAGAGUUGAUAAGAAACUAAAUGUCAUCCAAUAUGCUAGUAAAACUCUAGACACUGCUCAAAGGAAUUAUACUACUACUGAAAAAGAAUUCUUAGCAGUUGUAUUUGCAUGUGAUAAGUUCAGACCUUAUAUUGUUGAUUCUAAAGUAACUAUUCACACUAACCAUGCUGCUAUUAAAUAUCUUAUGGAAAAGAAAGAUGCUAAACCUAGACGUAUUAGAUGGGUCCUCUUGCUCCAAGAAUUUGAUUUGCAUAUUAUUGAUAGAAAGGGAGCCUAG
This 852-nucleotide ribosomal RNA is filed under the name Triticum aestivum (bread wheat). RNAcentral's name for it is "partial small subunit ribosomal RNA". The record is from RNAcentral. Lineage: Eukaryota; Viridiplantae; Streptophyta; Magnoliopsida; Poales; Poaceae.